Molecule: long non-coding RNA, 4340 nt
Organism: Gallus gallus (chicken)
Lineage: Eukaryota; Metazoa; Chordata; Aves; Galliformes; Phasianidae
Exons: 3
Source: RefSeq, a predicted model, not a curated record
GUUUCCUGAAUGAAGGCUGCUGCUUGAGAAGGUGUGUUCUGUAACCUGAGACCCUAUCGCCAGUUGGAUACUCUAAUAUCCCCAAAAGCCAUGCUGACUUCUACAGCGUUCUAUGUGACUCCACCAUCAGUUGUGUUGGGCUGAAUGUUGCUGUGCAGCAGGACGUAGCUACUAUGUUGUCACUGCUCGCAGGUUUAAUGUCCUCUACAAUAAGGAAAGAACUGCAGCUUCAAGACCCCAUACUGCUGAGCAGGGGUCAAUAUCACAAACAGGAGGAUGGAAGGUAUUCCAGCAAAGUUUCACCAAAUAGAACUGGGGACUCCUGGAGGUGGCUAUUAGGCAAGGAAGGAUAAUAAAGGUUAACAGUUCCCAGACCCCAGCUAUACACUGCGGAUUCUCAAUCAUAUUACUGCUGAUGUACACUCCUUCUGUACCACUUUAAGGGUUAUAUUUUAAAGGUAAUGUUCUAGAAUGCUGUGGUAAAUAUAUAUGAGGAAAAAUGCAACCAUUUAUGUAAUAAACUCAAGGCAGGUUUUGAAGGAGGUUGAAGCAAGAGUAUGAAAUAAUAAAACACUUAGAGACUUAUUCUUUGAUGCUUUGCCCUUGUGAGGGAAUUGCCUGUUCUGCAAGUGUAUAAUAAAACAGAAGUAGCCGGGACUGUGUGAGGUAAAAUGCAUAAAAGGGAGAACAGCUUGUAAAGGAAAUAAAUCUUGGCGCUUUACUGAAGACCAUUUAAAUGUUUAUUAUGUAUUUAUUUAUUAAAGAUUGCCAAAGUCUGCUGAGAGUGGGGUAUAAUAAGCAUCUCCAGAUGCUCCUUACUAGAGCAACUCCAAACAUAUAACAACUUCUGAUAAAUCCUAAAAACAAUUUAAGGCGGGCUGUAAUGAACUCAGGUCUUAGAAGAGGUGACCACAGUAAGAAAUAGACAACAUACACAUUUCUAUGAAAAGGGUAGUAGUAAAUGCAACAGUGUUUCUCACAUGAAAUUAACUAAAACAGUAUAUCCUUCUAGUACUUUUUAUAAAGGUACAUGCUACAAGGCUGACUGUGAGGAAAACAUAAUACAGUUGGCAUCCCUCUCUGCUGUGCUAAGGGCUGAAUCACUCUUGUACCCUGGUUUUAAGUCUAGAUGGCUGUUAUGAAUCCAAAGCUGUCUGAUGUGCUUGUAUUUGAAAAGUUGAUGAAAUCCGGUCUUCAGAAAACAAAGGGAGAGUGCUCUUUUAAAACUGCUUUGGCUUUUUCUCAGUAUUGCCGCAUUUAAUUUAAUGUUGUUUCUAUGCUGAAGACGUUCUCCUCAACCUGAUUUUUACGGCAGCAGUAGUGCUGUUGUCACUGUUAUGAUCAAGGGAUAUAAACAGGACAAGAAGAGGUCACAACUCAUAUUAGGCCUGCUUUCAGGCAGUUCUUCUUCGGGAAGAAGAAACAGAGGAAGCCAUUCUCAAAUGUAAAUGCAAAGUGCUCACAUCACCUGAAAACUUACGUGUGAGAAAGAUGCUGGCAGAAGGAGAGAUGAGGAACUGGUGCUUCAGCGCCUACAAUUCCCUCCAUGCUCUAUCUGUGGUUAAGAGUGGGCCAACAGACUCUCCACCAAGAAAAUUCAAACAUAACCCAACCUGCUUGCUACAAGCUACAUGGAUGAACCUAGCCCUUAUUGCUGCCUUUAAAACCUGGUUCAAGUACAGCCAGUAAUGGCAGUGCAGAUGUAGCCAGCAAGACUCACAGCAGGGAAGAAAUAGAACUUAGGCAACCUUAGUGCCAGAGCACUGCAGUAAUGUUUUUCAUCUUCUGAUUACUACAAUCACUUUAAACAGUCAAAUGAAUGACCAAGCAGUCAGAGGCAGACAAAAUUUAAACAACUGUAGCAAGGCCAUGACAAGAAUGUCUCUGUAGCUAUCAGUGCUCUUCAAAAAAUAGCAUAUACACAACUUAGUUUUCCCAUAUAUUAUCCAUGCUUAUUAACGUGAUACAUACUAAGACAUCAACAUAUCUAGAGUAGACAUGACUGAGAGAGUCUUGUGUCAUGACACAGACUUGAAAUGGCUUAAAAGUAGUUAGAUAUGAAGAAAAAUAGAAAUUCCAAUAUAAAGAACUAAGUGAUUAUUAGAUACACUUGGAGCUGAGAAAAAGGUGAACCUGAGUCAUUAGAAAAAAAACAAAAACAAAAACAAAUGCGCUGUUUUUAUGUGAACUCUCUUGAAGUUCUUCACGUGGAAAAAAUAUUUUUCCUAAAGAAAAUUGAUUUUCUGUCUCACUAAUGUUUCAAUUUUAUUCUUACCAGUCAAGGAGAGUUUUUCCUUUGGUAAAAAGGUCUCUGGGUUUCCAGUGUAAUAAAGUAUCAUUAAAAAAGCCUGAAUUUCAGAAAAAAAAUGAUAAGCAGGAUGCGUCUAUUUUACACUAAGUAUCAGGGAAGAAAUACCAUGACAGCUUAGUUUUCCUGAGAGCAUUUUACAAAAUAACUCUCCAAUCUAAUCUCAGCUUUAUACCACCUAUUAUCAUAGCUUCAACCAUGUGUGGCAAUGACUACCUGGGUUCUACUUUAGCUGGAAAUGGUGAAGAAGAAGUAAGAACUUCAGCUAACAAAACAUGACGAGAAUGCAAAGGCAGGUAGUUUUCUGACUACCAUUUCAGUCUACUCCAAAUACUGCUAAAUACUGCUAAGAAUGUAUGUUGGGGCAGCCAUCUUUACUGCAGUGGAAUUAGAUGAUGCAGAGGAUCUGAGCAUGGUUGCUUGGCAAAGUAUUUUGGAGGAAGAUGAAUUUGCUUGUAUAUUAUUACUGGUAAUUACCUUUAAUCUUAGUUUAAAUUAUGUAUUACCAGAGCUACUCCACUGAUGUCAUUGGAGUUACUCCAAUUUUACAAUGUAAUGCUAUAUAGCAGAAAAGAGAUCUGGCUGUCUGCAUUCUUCUUCAGCUAGCAUGUUAUGUGAUCAGUCCCAGGUGUUGUCCGUGAUGAGGUGUUGUCCAGUACAAAAAUAAAAAAAAGAAAAAACUAAUGCCUUUAAUAGCCAAAGUACAAGGCUUUGCUAGUGGUUAUCAAUAUGAAAAAAGUUAAUUGACACAAAAUGCCGUGUUUUAUGUGGCUCUGAGAAUGUGUGUGGUAGCAGGGUUCUGUGGAUGCAUCUAGAUUAGUAAUUUAUAUCUCAAGAGGAGUUUAUUUUGGUGCAAAUUUGGCAUGCAUCUGUAGUUGGAAUUCAGCAGUGUACAUCUGAAAACUGAGCUGGAUGCCUUUUCCCUUCUGAUGGAGCCAGGGCUGAAGAUGGCUGAUGGAAAGGUACUUCUGAGUCUAUCCUUGAUACACUGUGCAGUCAUGUCUGUCUGUGUGAGAGGUGUUAACCCUGAAGAAGCAACUGGAUCAAACUUCACUGCUUCUUCAAACAGAAGGUGAACAUAUUGUCUUUCAACCACACAAGCAGCACCAAACUUAUCCCCGCUCCUUCCACCUUUGAGCCACUCUAGUAAGUAAUGUGAUUAUCCCCAUGCAUAAAUUCUGAUAACACGUGAGAAUAUCACAUGCAGGUAAAACUUAUAUGAGCCAGCUUUUCUCUUCUGACAGUUUGAAGAUUAUAUUUAGAGUGUUUAGUGUGUUUAGCACGUUCAAAGUCUCUGGAAUGUUUAGUGUUGUUGAUAAAGGGUGCACCUUGCCCAAAUUUGUGUUUUUAUUAUCUCCAAGAAUGGGAUUCUCCUUUUUCUUUUCACUAUUAUUUUUCUUCAAUUACUUAAGGAAAGAAUGUUGAAGUAUGUCUUGUGUCCCAUAAUUCAUAAGAAAUCUCAUACACUGGUCCUGAGUCAGCAUUUGUCUUAAUGGAUUUUGUACUGAGGUAUUGGAAGGAUUUAACCAAAGCCUGUAGUUUGACCUACAUAUUUAACAUCUCUCUUUUGGACAGUAUUAAUUUGCAUUCAUAUUUUCUUUCUUUUUGCUACUUGUAUCUAACUUUGUUUUUACUGUAUAAACUGGAAUUAACAGUGAUUAAUACUUUAAAUCAAAUAUGGUUUGUUUUCUGUUGGCCAUGGCCAUCUCUAAGAACAAAUUUAAACUGCAGAGGGAAUUCAGCUAUUCAUAUCACGUUUGCUUCCACAAGCAAAACUUGCCAAACUAAAGAACUCAGAGUUGAGCCAUAUGGUUUUGAUAAAACAUGGUGACUUGAAAUUUAUUUUCACUUUGCAAAACAACAACGAGUGCCAAAAUACUGUAUGUGAAAAAUUCAGCAUCCGGAAAAAUGUCCAGUAUAUGUCCACUUGUCACACUGGUUGGGCUCGGCAUUUCUACAGCUCAAGAUGAUCCUUUGCAGUGUUAGUAGUGAGAAAAGAGAAACUUGUAGAAUAAAAGUUCAAAGUGAAAAA